GGAAGGCUGCCCUGAGCUCACAUCCGUGCCCAUCUUCCUCCACUUUAUAUGCGGGACGCCUGCCACAGCAUGGCUUGCCAAGCGAUGCCAUGUCUGCACCAGGACCCGAACUGGCGAACCCAGGGCCACCAAAGUGGAACGUGUGAACUUAACUGCUGUGCCACCGGGCCGGCCCCUCAGAGCCAUAGCAUCUGCCUCCAGUGCAGACAGAUAGUCACCAAAGAGCCACCUUCAUGCUGGUAAAACUGCUUGCUGACUGCUCAGGGCAUAUUGCAGAAGAAGAGGACAAAUGAGAUUGUAAGAACCAGCCAUGAGGGACAGAAUGUUGGAGGAGAUCAUUGAGAGGGCAUGACUGCUGGUUGACCUCAAAGCUGGACCCAGGUAAUCAGAGGCUCCUCACCCACCCCUGUCCUUGGAAUAUGCAUUCCACUUGUCUUUCCUGCAUUAGAAACUGCCCAAGGAUGCAGCCUUGAGAUAGUAAUGUGUCUUUGAGACUAUCUGGAUGGUAUAUGUGACUGAGUUUAGGCCUCUAUAUAAACUUUUAAGAUUCUGGUGGUUGGGUGCAGAGAUCUACUCAUCUUGUAGCUGCCCAGGACAAGCCUCGUAAGUAAGUUCCCUUGCUUAUUACAACUGUCUCUUACCAAUCUAGAGUGGCUUACCUCUUUCUUUGGUCACUCCUUGCCCUCCAUGUAAGGGGCCAGUCUGCAAACCAACAGGGGAUAUCCUCACUUUGUUCCUGAUCUUGGUAAGAGAGCUUCUACUUUCUCACCAUUGAGUAUGAUAUAGGCUGCAGGUCUUUUGUAGAUGUUCUUUAUCAGGUUAAGGAAGCUUCCCAUCUAAUCCUAGUUUGCUGAAAGUUUUUGCCAUUAAUGGGUAUUGGAUUUCGUCAAAGGCUUUUCUGUAUGUAUUGGUAUGAUCAUGUGAUUUUUUUUCCUUUAGUCUGUUGAUGUAAUAGAUUAUAUUAAUUGAUUUUUGGGUGUUGAACCAGCCUUAGAGAUCUGGGAUAAAUUCCACUUGAUUUAUGGUGUAUAAUUCUUUUUAUACAUUGUUGGGUUCAAUUUGCUAAUAUUUUGUUGAGUAUUUUUGCAUCUAUAUUCAUGAAAGAUAUUAGUUUGUAAUUUUCUUGUAUUGUCUUUGUCUGAUUUUUGUAUUGGAGUAAUUCUAGCUUCAUAAAAUAAGUUAGGAAGUAUUCCCUCUGUUUCCAAUUUUUGGACAAGAUUGUAGAGUACUGGUAUGAUUUCUUCCUUAAAUAUUUGGAAGAAAUCACCAGUGAACCCAUCUGAACCUGGUGCUUUUUCUAUUCUGGAAGGUUAUUAAUUAUUGGUUCAAUUUCUUUAAUAAAUAUAGGCCUAUUCCAAUUGUUUAUUUCUUCUGUUAUUGGUUUUCACAGAUUAUAUUUUUCAAAAAAAUGGUCUAUUUCAUCUGGGUUAUCACAUGUGUGGGCAUAGAGUUAUUUAUAGUAUACCUAUGUUAACCUUUUCACAUCUGUGGGAUCUGUAGUGAUGUUCCCUCUUUCAUUUCUAACACUAGAAAUUUGUGUUUUCUCUCUUUUUUUCUUAAUCAGCCUGGCUAGAGGUUUAUUGAUUUUAUUAUCUUUUCAAAGAAUCAGCUUUCGGUUUUGCUGAUUAUCUCUAGUGAUUUCCUGUUUUCAAUUUCAUUGAUUUCUACUCAAGUUUUUAUUAUUUACUUUCUUUUCCUUACUUUGGACUUAUUUUCUCUUCUUUUUCUAGUUCCCUAAGGUGGAAUCUUAGAUUACUGAUUUUAUAUCUUUCUUCUUCUCUAACAUAUGCAUUAAAUGCUAUUAAUUUCCCUAUGAGUACUACUUUUGCUGCAUUUCACAGAUUUUGUUAAGUUGUAUUUUCAUUUUAAUUUACUUCAAAACAUUUCUUAAUUUCUCUUGAGGUUUCUUAUUUGACCCUGUG
Equus asinus (donkey) is the source of this 1922-nucleotide long non-coding RNA. NCBI's taxonomy places the organism in Eukaryota, Metazoa, Chordata, Mammalia, Perissodactyla, Equidae. The record is from Ensembl.